RNAcentral lists this ribosomal RNA (490 nucleotides) under uncultured bacterium. RNAcentral's name for it is "bacterial SSU rRNA". It matches the Rfam family "Bacterial small subunit ribosomal RNA", at positions 15 to 507 of the family's 1533-position model. The record is from RNAcentral.
GAUCAUGGCUCAGGAUGAACGCUGGCGGCGUGCCUAACACAUGCAAGUCGAACGAGGUAAAUGAGAUGAAGUUUUCGGAUGGAUUCUUAUUUACCGAGUGGCGGACGGGUGAGUAACGCGUGGGUAACCUGCCUCAUACAGGGGGAUAACGAUUGGAACGAUUGCUAAUACCGCAUAAGCGCACAGUACCACAUGGUACAGUGUGAAAAACUCCGGUGGUAUGAGAUGGACCCGCGUCUGAUUAGCUAGUUGGUGAGGUAACGGCCCACCAAGGCAACGAUCAGUAGCCGACCUGAGAGGGUGACCGGCCACAUUGGGACUGAGACACGGCCCAGACUCCUACGGGAGGCAGCAGUGGGGGAUAUUGCACAAUGGAGGAAACUCUGAUGCGGCGACGCCGCGUGAGUGAAGAAGUAUUUCGGUAUGUAAAGCUCUAUCAGCAGGGAAGAAAAUGACGGUACCUGACUAAGAAGCCCCGGCUAACUACGUG